This 3119-nucleotide long non-coding RNA is filed under the name Homo sapiens (human). Its description in RNAcentral is "non-protein coding WDFY3-AS2:19". Lineage: Eukaryota; Metazoa; Chordata; Mammalia; Primates; Hominidae. The record is from RNAcentral.
AUAAUCGAAGGGCUUCCAGCGUAGGGCGUAGGGGGAGAGGCCCGAAGCCCUGGAGACAGCGCCCGAGGGAUGGAGGCCGCGCUCGGCUGCGCUCAGGUCCGGGUGGCUCCGGGAGCUGAGACCCCGCAGGAUGCAGCGGGGGGGGGCCAGGGCCUGAUCCCCUACCCCUGCGAGCCAGGGCCGCCUACGCCCCCACUGCUUCCCACAGGACACAGCAAGAGGCAACAUUUUGGAAGCAGAGGGCAACUCUCACUGGAAACCAAAUCUCCUGGCACCUUGAUCUUGGAUUUUACAGCCUCCAGAACUGAUAGCUGGGAGGCAUUACAUAGUCAUGUGCGAGGUCAAAACUGAGUCACCACCACAACCAAGUUCCAGCUGGCAAGAAGAGGAAAAAUAACACAGAGGAGUUAUGACCAGUGUUGUAAGGAUCUGGCCUAGAAAUGGCAUGCAUCUCUUCCACUAAUAUCCUAUUGGUAAAAAUGUAGUCACAUGGGCACACCACCUAUCUGCAUGGAAGGCUGGGAAAUGUUGAUCGGUAGGGCAGCCAUAUGUGUAGGAAGGAGAAAACAGAAUUUGGUGGAUACCUAGUAGUCUCUGCCAUACCCUUGACCAGAAAUUUUUCUUCUAAAGAAUUUAAUUCUAAAAGUUAUAGACAUUCCCAAAGAUAUACCUGCAAGCAUCACAGCUUUGUGUAUAAUUGCAAAAGUUGAAAUCAACAUGAAUGCCCAAAAUAGUGAAUUAUUUAAACAGAUUAUUACCCAUAUUAUGAAGAAAUACUCUGCAACUCUUAAAAAUAAAUGUAAUGUGCCAGGCGCAAUGGGAUAUGCCUGCAGGCCCAGCUACACGGGAGGCCAAGGCAGGAGGAUCACUUGAAAUCAAGAGUUCAAGUCUAGCCUAGACAACAUAGUGAGACUUGGUCUCUAAAAAAGAAAAAAAAAAAUAAAACUGAUGUAAUGAAUAUAUAAUUACAACAAAAGAGGUCUAACACUAUAGUAGAAAAGUUUGGGGCACUCAUCCCAUUCAUAAUUAUUUUACAUUUAAAUUACUGUUCCUACUUAAGUGGUGAGCUUGGUAACCAUUUUCAUAUCAGGUGAUACUGCUGCAGUAAUCAUAGCUGUUUGAAUCAGGAAUAAUCCCAAUCACAUUUUCUCUUAAUCGUUUAUUAUACUGGGCAUUGGGGUUGCAAGAUAAUGCACAGUCCGAGCUCAAUACAUGUCUUCAUGUACCUGUAUGUAAAUCCCACUUUUAUUCUAAAAUUCUUUGAAUAUUUUGUUUCUUGGAACCCAAUGAUCCUAAGAAAAUUAUGUACUUUUACCUGAAAAUUAAAACCAAUAUUUAUAAAAAGUGUAUAUGCAGUAUGAUACCACUUUUAAAAAAAGAUAAAUUUAUAGAAAAAAGUUUAUAUGACUGACAACAAUGUCUCUGAGUGGUAGGAUUACAGUUAAUUUUUAUUUUCUUCAUUCUACUUAUCUUUAUUUUCUGAACUUUCUACAAUGAACAUGUUUUAUUUUUACUUUUGUUAAAAUAAAUAACAUUUAAUUUGACGGAAAAUUCUAAAAAUCAACAUUUGGUAACUUAAAUAUUCAUUGGCACAUGAUUCUGUGCCUGUUUCUGGGGGUCAUUCCCAUGAGAAGAGCAGGUAGAACUUAUGAGAAUAGAGCAGUCGAAAUAUUAUAGGUUUCAUAUUUUACGGCUUUAUUGAAAACAUUGAUAUAUUGAAUAUUCAUAAAUUUUAAUUUAACUUUCUUUUAUAAUCCUUAAUGUGAGGCUAAGGUAUAAGGAGAAAGGAGAUUGGUAAGGAAGUGUGAUACAUAUUGAAUCAGGUGUCAAGGUACCAUUUGUGCCUGGAUCUGACCAAUAGACCAAGGUAAAAAUCUCAAAGAAUGAGACUUGUAAUGAGAAUGCCACAAACUUGAAUACCUUAUGCACAAAACACAAACAUUGUUAUGCAUAAUGUACAUGAACCCUGAAACAAAGAUAAUGAUUUGGACCACCCAACUGAAGUGGCAUGUUAUGUUUUUGGCAUGAACAAAAGAAACAAGAGAGAAAAAAAUCAAAAUAAUUAAAAUAAAUUGUUAGAGAAAAGUUACUUUAAAAAUAGCUAUAACGCUUUGCAAUUUCAGUAACAGUUCUGCCUCUGAUGCAAUGUAAAACAUGUAUUAGACAUUCAGGCUCCACAAUAAAUUUUAAUGAGCACUACAAAUUUAGAAUAUAUAAAAAUAUCAGUAACCUAUGAAUUCAUCAACAUAACUCACUUUUCAGUUAAGUUAGGCUGAGUUGAAAUUCUACUAAGUUUUCCCAUAUUCUUGAUAAAGGCUAAAUUUGAAAUAAUUUAUUUAGAUGACUAAUUGGCAAUUUGAUAGUAGUUACAUUUUAUGUAACACUUGAUAUAAUAACCCAAAUUAAUUAGCUCAAUAUUAUCUUCUGUGGUUUAUUGAUCCAAAAGUACAUAUUUGUUAUGUAAACUUAUACUAUGUAAACUUGAAUUAGUUUUUUGCUUCCUUGAAUUAAUAAAGCCCAUUAAUGCAAAUCUAAGCCUUCAUAGACUUUUCCAAUCCUUAGUUAAAUAUUAAAAACUGAGUAUUGUAGUUAUUUGCUAGGUAUAAAAGGUGACUCAGAGUAGAGAGUAAGAUGUCAGCAAAUAGACAAUAAGAUGUCAGCAAAAGUGCCUCAAAUUUUAACUGCGUCAAGUUAAGGGCAUUGUAAAUACUGUAGUUUUAUGUAGCUUGCAACUUCUACUGAAAUGAGUUUAAUCAUGUCUUUCACAUAGCUGAAGUUUGUGUCAAGAUUUAAGCUGAUUUUCUCAUUCUUAUCAAAGUCUCACCUGGGGGUAGGGAGGGGUAGGCCUACCUCCCACCUCUAUACUAUCAUUUUAGGAACAGACAGGCAUAAAUCUGUUCAUAUGGUAGAACACAUGAUGUUAGAGUAUAUUUUGUUGAAUGCUAUGGAAUAUUAAUAUAAUUAAUUCUAAAAUAUCACCUAAAAUAUGUCAACUGAAGAUCUGACUGUACUAAAUAUGAAAAAUAAAGCAGCACAUACUUUCUCUACUGUUUUCCUGGCCAUUCAUUGUCACAAGGCUUAGCCAGUCCCUGACACCCAAUACGCUACCAAUAAGCCAC